GAUGAACGCUAGCUACAGGCUUAACACAUGCAAGUCGCGGGGCAGCAUGGGGGUUGCUUGCAAUCCCCGAUGGCGACCGGCGCACGGGUGAGUAACGCGUAUUCAACCUGCCCUUCACCACGGGAUAACCCGGCGAAAGUCGGACUAAUACCGUAUGUUUUCCAUUGACGGCAUCCGAUUUGGACGAAAGGCUUGGCGGUGAGGGAUGGGGAUGCGUCCGAUUAGCCAGACGGCGGGGUAACGGCCCACCGUGGCUACGAUCGGUAGGGGUUCUGAGAGGAAGGUCCCCCACACUGGAACUGAGACACGGUCCAGACUCCUACGGGAGGCAGCAGUGAGGAAUAUUGGUCAAUGGGCGUAAGCCUGAACCAGCCAAGUAGCGUGCAGGAUGACGGCCGUAUGGGUUGUAAACUGCUUUUAUGCGGGGAUAAAGUGGCCCACGUGUGGGCUUUUGCAGGUACCGCAUGAAUAAGGACCGGCUAAUUCCGUG
RNAcentral lists this ribosomal RNA (490 nucleotides) under uncultured bacterium. RNAcentral's name for it is "partial 16S ribosomal RNA". It matches the Rfam family "Bacterial small subunit ribosomal RNA", at positions 28 to 507 of the family's 1533-position model. The record is from RNAcentral.